AUUGAACGUUGGCGGCGUGCCUAACACAUGCAAGUCGAACGAGAAAGUUUCCUUCGGGAAACCAGUAAAGUGGCGCAAGGGUGAGUAACACGUGAAUAAUCUACCUAUGAAUUCGGGGAUAACUCGACGAAAAGUUGCGCUAAUACCGGAUAAGACCACAUCUCUUAUGUGAUGUGGCCAAAGGAGUCUUAAACUUCGUUUAUAGAUGAGUUCGCGGACCAUUAGCUUGUUGGCGGGAUAAUAGCCCACCAAGGCUACGAUGGAUAGCCGGCCUGAGAGGGCGAUCGGCCACACUGGAACUGAGACACGGGUCCAGACUCCUACGGGAGGCGAGCAGUGGGGAAUAUUGCGCAAUGGGCGAAAGCCUGACGCAGCAACGCCGCGUGAGGGAUG
This 393-nucleotide ribosomal RNA is filed under the name uncultured Nitrospina sp. RNAcentral's name for it is "bacterial SSU rRNA". It matches the Rfam family "Bacterial small subunit ribosomal RNA", at positions 30 to 410 of the family's 1533-position model. Lineage: Bacteria; Pseudomonadati; Nitrospinota; Nitrospinia; Nitrospinales; Nitrospinaceae. The record is from RNAcentral.